GGACCACUCAGCUCCUGUCAGGAGUGUGGGGCUGAGCAGGCCUCUGGGGGCUAAUGACCAGGGAGAGGCGGGCCCCAGGGGCUUUCUGCUGCUUCUCCCCGAGUGGGACACCUUCCCAGAGCUGGUGGGCCCUCCGCACGUUAGGGGCCUGGCCAGCGCUGGGGUGAACUUGCCGCUGCUUGUUGGAUGCUUCCAGGGCAUGCAGCAGCUUCUCCCACCACCCAGCCCUGUGCCGUGGGCAGGAGCCAUCGUGGGCUCCUUCUACAGAUGAGGAAACUGAGGCUUCGAGAAGCAGCGAGGCCUGUGCUACAGGGCAGAACACUGUUUUGAGCCCCCAGCUCUCCUGACAUUUGGAGGAAUCGGCUGGGGGCCGACCCUGGGCAGUGCAGCCGAGGGUGAAUCUGACAGGAUCCUGCUGUCCCCCAAGUCCUGAGGCCCGGCGGGUGCUGUUCUGGUUCUUGGCCCCUCUUGCAGGGCCUGUCCUCGGCUUCAGUCCCCGGGGGCCAGCAGGGAGGGUGGGGUGGGACAGACCUGGUCCUGAUGAGGCUGCAGCUUUCCUGCCCACCAGGCUGAGUCAGGGCUGGCGGGAGGCACGGGGCGGCAGCUUUCCCAGGGCCAGCCCGGGCGGCGGCCACAUUCCUCGCGAGAGGGUGCGUCUGGGCUUGGCCAAGCCAGGUGUGCUGUGCCCUGCCCAGGCGCCUGCCUGCCCCAGAGCCAGCUCAGCACCACGGCCUUGUAAGGAACAUGUCUGGCAGCUGCUUGGCACAAGGUGUGGGAACUGCUUGCCUUGCACUUCCUUGCUGGGUGGGGUGCUGGCUGUGGGGGGCAGCCCGCUGGAGCCCCAGCCCCCACACUGGCCUGGGAAAUUGGGGUGCCUGCUGUUCACCCCCUACGCACACCCUUCUUUACCUCUGCACUUGGGCAGCUGGAGGCUGAGGCUCAAGACAGUCUGUGGUGUGGGCCUUGGGCUUUGCUCCUUGCUCAGCAGAUUCUGGGGGAACAGUGAGGGGUGUUCUGAGAGUUGGGGGUGGGCAAGGGCCCCUCGAAGGCCCAGAAGCAGCAGGGGGCCUGCUUUGUUUGCUGCCCCAUCUCUUGCGGAGGCCUCUGUCCUCACCAGCUGGGAGCUCUGGGUGCCGGCUGGGAGUCUGGGGCAGAGGCUCUGAGUCGGGGGCCUGUGCACAUGCCGUGCACCUGCCUGGGAGCCCAGCAUCCACCUGUGAGCCCUGUGUGUACAGGUCCCUGCUCAGAGCCCUUCCUGUGCCCCCAGGCCCUGCUUCUCCACACCCCUGCUGGGCUCCCUGCGUUGGCACUGGGGCUGGGAGUGACCCAUGCAGGGGUCAAACAGUUCCGGCCACUCACUUGUGAAAUUCUGCUCAUAAUUCACCUCCUCUCACUGGGCCUCAUUUCCUCCCCGUAAAAGGAGGAUGAGGCCACUGGGUUCUUGGUGGAUGGACUAUGACUUGAGAUGGAGGCUUUGGGACUUUGGGGCCAUGCCUUCCCCAUCUGGGGAACCCCAGCCCAGCCCAGCUCUGCAGCUUACCAGCCCGUCUGUGGUCAGGCCAGGCCUGGCAGGGGUCAGGAGGGAACCUCAAGUCUGGGAUAUGGGGCCCCUACCCACUGCCCACCCUCUUCCUCGGAGCACUUCCAGGGUAGGGUAGCAUUUCAGUCCCUCCCGUGAAUGGCCGAGGGGCAUCCCCUUGUCUGCCCGUCACCCCCCAUCUGUGGCCUCAGCAGUUUUGAGCUCAGCCUGUGGGCUGGGCCGGUACCCUCUGUCACGUUCCUGCAGCAGGGCCUGGCUGUGCUUUGGCGGGCCCAGGGCAGCAGGAAUCAGUUCCCAGGCCUUGGUGGGAAAAAUGGGCCCUGGCCCUGGGCCCAGGCUGGGUGUGGGAAUUCUGUCCUGCAUGGACGGUCAGGAUGGGUGACACCAGGACUAUGGGAAGAGAAGCUGACAGAUGAGCCUGUGAGGGGUAGUAGGCUGAGCCGCAGUCAUCCACACAGCCCGGUUGAGGGUUGGGUGGGGGGUGGACCCCAGCUGGCCCAUGACUGAGCAGUGGUGGGAAGACUGGCUGGACAUAUAUCAGGCUGGGGCAGGGACCCCUCAGUUCUCCCGUCCCUAGCCUUCCUCUGUCUGAGCCCUAGGGCUGGCAUUCUGGGGUGACCCAAUUCCCAGGGACCCUCUAGGGACUUUGGCUGCCAUCCCCCCUCCCCUGUCUAAGGCCUUAUGACAAGUGGGCAGCACCUUGUCUAGGGGGUGGUACUGUUUGCAGUAGACGGAAGGGCCUAGGCCCCUUGAAAGCUCCACUCUCUGUCCUGGUGUCCUGGGGCUAAGGACGGUUCAGUGGUGUGUGUGUGUGUGUACACCUGUCUGCAUGCAUGUGUAUGUGUUGUGGGGAGGCAGUUGUCCCAGUGGAAGUGGGCUUUUGGACAUUUAGAUCAGGGUCUCUGUAGUUGCAUUCUGCGCCCUGAAGGAUUCUGGGAGUUGGCACUAAGAGCCAGGCCCAGAGCAGCCUGGGAAAUCAUGGGAACUGGUGAGAACAGGCUGGAAGGGUGUGGCUGCAGCAGCUGGAAUGUGUAGGCAGGACCAGCCUUACCUCCCUUAUUCAGGAAUGGGCUUUGGCUGGGGAGCCAGGACCCAGCACCUUCCCUGAGCUGUCCUGGCUCUGCUCUCCCAGGCCUCCAGACCCCAGCUGCACUCCAUUGGUGUACCCCCAAACCCCUCACUCCAUGCUGGGCUAGAGCUAGCAGCCUGGCUGGGGUGGGGGGCAGGGUGCCCUUUGGGAGAAGCUGGCAGCUUUUCCUAAAGAUUCCUGGGUUCUUGGUGCUCUGUAUUUGUUUCUAACCCUUUGCACAGACCAACCCUCUGUUACUCAUGGGGGACUCAUUCUGACGAGUUAAGGGAGCACAUGACUGCACCUGUUGGGGGUUCCCUGGACUGCGGAUUGGGUUUCCAGGCUCUCUGUACCCCUGGGAGGAGGGCUGAGGGCACCCACCAGUCCUGGAGUUUCUGGGCACUUGCUGUUGUCUCUGCAGAGCGGCUCUGUCCUCUCCUGUUCUGUUUGGUUGAUUAAGGCACACUGGCCCCUGCCAGCCUCUCCAGGCCCAGCUCUUGUCUCUGCCUCCCCAGCCAACUCUCCUUGCCAGGUAGGCGAGGGCCCCUUGAAGGGCCGGAAGCAGCAGGGGGCCUGCUUUGUUUGCUGCCCCAUCUCUUGCAGAGGCCUCUGUCCUCACCAGCUGGGAGCUCCCGGUGCCGGAUGAGAGUCUGGGGCAGAGGCUCUGAGUUGAGGGCCUGUGCACAUGCCACGCGCCUGCCCAGGAGCCCAGCGUCCACCUGUGAGCUCUGUGUGUACAGGUCCCUGCUCAGAGUCCUUCCUCAGCUGUCCUGCUCCUCAGGCUAUGCUGAGGCCCCUGCAAGGUGCAUACUCAGCCCCAUCUGCUCAGGCAUCUUGCAAGGCCCAGGGGCCUCCUCUGAGCUUCCCAAGAUCAGGGCCUGCUGUGUCCCUGUCAUGUCCCCAGGCCCUCCCUUGUGUAGUCAGGGAGAGAAUGAACUAACGAAUGGGUGCAGGAAAUCUGGGGAGUUCCUCUGCAUUUGGACUUGCAAAGGGCUGUCACAUGACCCUGGCCCGGCUUUUGCUUCCUCCAGUCUGAGGAAAAGCCUCCCUCUAACCUUGGGGUUGGGGUCUCCUGGAAGAUUCCAGAGAUCUGUCUUGAGGUCAAGGAGAGCCAAGUUCCUUCCCACCAGGACUCAAGGUUAAUAGCUAGUGUGUGAGUGGCAAUGGCUGCUUUGUGUGAAUGAGAGCGUAAAGUGUGGGCAGUGAGAGGCUGUGUGAAGGUGCACAAGUGUGCAAGAGUGUGCCUGUGUGUGAAAGUGUGAGUCUGUGAAUGAGUAUUAGUGAGGCUGUGCAAGUCUGUAUGAAUGUGUGAGUAUGGAUAUGAGGGAGUGUGAGUGUGUAUGGGCUUGUGAAUGUGAGGGUGUGUAAGCCUGUGGGUGGGAAUGCGUGUGAGUCUGUGUGAAUGUGCAUGUGAGUGGAUUGUGAGUAUGAGAGUCUGUCAAUGUGUAGUAAUGUGUGUGAGGGUGUAUGAGUCUAUGAAUGCAUGUGUACAUCUGUGAUUAUGAAUGUGUGAGUCUAUGAGUGUAUGCGAGUGUGAUUCAGUGAGAGCUGUGGCUAAGUGUGUGAAUGUGGGCAUCUGAGCGCGUGUAUAUGAGUGUGUAAGAGUAUGAAUGACUGAGUGUAUUACUUGUGAGACUGUGAAUGGGAGAGUGUGAAUGUGUGUGAGCGCCAUGUAAAUGUGUGAGUGUGUACGAGUCUAGGAGUGUGUGAAUAUGUCAGUCUGAGAGCAGGUGACUACGUGCAUGUGAUUCCGUGUGAAUGCCUGUGAGCUGUGUAUGAGUCUGAGACUGUGUGAAUGUGCAUGUGAGCUGUGCAUAGAUGUGUGGCUUAUCUAGGAGGGAGGGUGGCAGGGGGCCCAGGGCAGAAGACGCUGGGCUCUGCCUUCCUCAGGGCCAUGGUCGACCCCAGUCAGGGAAGCUCAGAGCCCUCGCAGGAGUUCUGGCCCACUUAGGGAGCUGGGAGGCUCACUUUUCCCCAGAGGAGGUUACUUCGAGGGGUGAGUGGUCUUUCCCUGUUCUAGAGAGAGCUCAGAGGCCAUUUUUUAUUUAAAGAAAGUAAUAAUGAGUAGAUUUAAAAUAAUACCUACAAAACGUGGGCAGGAUUUAAGAAUUAAGAUACAACAAACACCCGUGAACCCGCCACCCAAUUUUAGAAACUUUGAGGAGUGCCCCUUCCCAUGCCGGUCCUCCACCCCACAGUGUACGAAGCACUAGCCUGGGUUUUGGGUUGUUAUUCCCUUGCUUUCACUGUAGAUCUGAAGGCACUCUGGGCGCUGAGCCUUCUGUGCUCCGGAGCCCACGAGGCCCGGACUCCGCCCGCUGGGCCAAAGAAGCUCAGUGCUGCCCUCUGGGGGUAACGGAUAGAGGCUGCCCCAGCUCAGAGCCAGCCGGCAGCCUGGGUGAGGCGCCCCACCCAGGUCACCCAGCAGCGACCCCAUAGAUGUGGACACAUGUGCUGUAGGACAUGUAGCACGCCUGGACGCAGAUGCGUACACUGGCCACUCGCAAGGAUUUGCACAUAGACGCAUGGAGUGGGCGCCGUACUCUGGGGCAUCCCAACAGGAGUGAGCCGACAGCAGCUGCUGUCCCCAGGAGUCGGCGGCGGCAGGGAGGGCUGGUCUCCGCGGAGUGGAGAGUGCCCUCCCUUAGAGAACCUCACGCCCAGGGCUGGGGGAAGCUGGGUAGGCAUGUUGACUUUGGGGAGAGCAGUUUAGUAGAACGACCUAUGGUGGGAGGCGCAGGAGGGCUUUGCGCUGGAGGCAGGGAAGGAUUUUUUUGUUUUGUUUUUUUGAGAUGGAGAAGAAAGAAGAGGCAUGACAAAAUGCACAGGCUGGCUUCAGAAAAGAAUUCCAAGUUCUUGAGAAAUUUCAUGGCCUAGAGGCAGGGGAAUGGAUACAAUGGCCCAGCCUGGGCCUUUGUUGUUACGGGGUCAUGGGACUAGAGGAGCAGGAGCUGAAUGUAGCGAGGAGCCGGGGCCCGCGUGGCGCGCAGGUGACGGAUGUCUGGAGUCCCCGGGUUUCUCCCUCAGCCUCAGGCGCAGGAGAGGAGCACAGGUGCGUAGCCUCGAAUGGUCAGCAGAGGGCGCUCCUGGUACAGAUUUGAGGCUCCAGCCUGUUGUCUCCUAGGAUCGUUCUUGGAAAGCACCGGGGCCUGGACUCCCGAUGGAAGCAUUCUGGAUUCCCCUUUGGGAGCUAUAAGCCCGGGCCUGAGAAGACAUGCCUUAUGAGGUAGUGAGCUCGAAAUGACCCCCAGAAAUGUGACCAGCCUCGUUGGCCUUCCUCUGGUGGCUGUGAUCUGUCCGGGUUAGCCAGUCUUUCUGGAGAGUUCCCGAGGGUCCCAGUCUCUGGAUCGGCCUCUGCAGUCUACCUGGUGACCUUACUGGCUUCCUGGUUCCCUGGCUCACCCUAGGUGGAGGACUUCCUCGGGUCUGGCAGGGCCCCUCGGCCUGUCAUACCCCAGGAGCCCUGGGAGUCCAGAGCUCCAAGGACCAGGGGCAGCUCCUUGUCUUCUGCUAUAGGUUGGUGGCCAGGACACAGCCAGGUCCUGCCAGCUCAGAUGAGGUGCGGACAGCCACAACUCCUUGGCGGGGCCAGGGUGGCUGCGGAGGAGAAAUUCCCUUCAGCUGUGAUGCCUCCUUCCCCCUCCUGAUGUCGCCAUGCAGGCAGAGGCACCUUGCACUCAGGAUUCCCUCAUGCACUCAUUUUUACAGUUAUUGGGCAGCAUUUCCAUGCCGUCUGUGGGGACAGAGGGAAGAAGGAGGCGGGAUCCUGGCCCAUGUCUACAGGAGGAGACACACCAUGUCAACAGGAAAUCCUCUGUUUGGAAGAAAACACUACAAUGGAAGACCAAUGGCCAAAAAUGCAUUUGCAACCCUUGUGCCAAAGGCCUUGUUGGCACAUUUACCAAAAGCCCACAGAAGUCAGGAAGGAAACCUGAUGCCACAAAGGAGGUAAAGAGGAACAGCUGGUUCAUAAGAAAGAAGAAAGAAAAGGAGGGGCCAAAACAUGCAGGGAUGGGUGGUCCAUCUCACAUGAUUAAAGAAAUGGAACCUGAAGCAAGACAGAGGACUUUUCUAUGACCAAAAAGAUGAAAAUUGGAAAACCACGAUAGCAACAGAUGAGCCUUCAGACCUCAGUGAGACCCACUGUGGUGGGCCUGUUGGGGGACAGUUACUCUCACUCAGGGUUGGUGGGAGUGAAACUUCGUAGCACGUUUCAGGAAGUCUUGAAAUUUUCACUGUUGGAAAAUUCAAAUAUGCACACAAGUAGAGAGAACGGCAAAACAGACUCCUGGUACCCAUCAUCCCAUUUCUGUAGCUGUCAACAUGCUGCCAUCCCUGUUCCUUGUUGGGGAGGUUACAGUAUUUUAAAGCGAACCCCAGAUUUCAUUUCAUUUUACUCUGGAAGAAAAUUUGGCAAUAGCUGUCAAAGGAAAAAGUGGAUUUACCUUUUAACUUAGCAAUCCCACUGCUAAAUUUUCCUCUAAGGAGAUAUUUGCAAAAGUUCUCUGCGCUGUGUGUUCAGGGAGGUUUAUUUCACUGCUGUUUGUAAAAGUGGAAAACUCGAGACUGGAGAGGUGGUUGGUAGGGACAGGAGUAAAUAAAUUAGAGCUUAUGGUCAUAAUGAAUUAAAAAGAAUGAGGUGGCUCUCCAAGAGGUAUGAUUAACUGGGAAAUUGAGGCAUUGACCAGAUCGAGAAUAUCUCUUUUGUAUAAUUAAAAUCUCUAUAAAAGACAUUAAAAGUCAAAACACAACACAGCAAUGUUUGGAUGACUCUCUGCUGCUACAGGAUAAAGUC
Manis pentadactyla (Chinese pangolin) is the source of this 7404-nucleotide long non-coding RNA. RefSeq lists it as uncharacterized. The transcript has 3 exons. NCBI's taxonomy places the organism in Eukaryota, Metazoa, Chordata, Mammalia, Pholidota, Manidae. The record is from RefSeq and is a predicted model, not a curated record.